Molecule: ribosomal RNA, 286 nt
Filed under: uncultured prokaryote
Description: partial 16S ribosomal RNA
Rfam family: Bacterial small subunit ribosomal RNA
Source: RNAcentral
AACGUAGGGGGCGAGCGUUGUCCGGAAUUACUGGGCGUAAAGGGCGCGUAGGCGGUUAUCCAAGUCAGGGGUGAAAACCUUGGGCUCAACUCAGGGCCUGCCUCUGAAACUGGGUAACUUGAGGGCAGGAGAGGGGAGUGGAAUUCCCAGUGUAGCGGUGAAAUGCGUAGAUAUUGGGAGGAACACCAGUGGCGAAGGCGGCUCUCUGGCCUAACCCUGACGCUGAGGCGCGAAAACGUGGGGAUCAAACAGGAUUAGAUACCCUGGUAGUCCCUGAGCGGGCUGG